RNAcentral lists this long non-coding RNA (216 nucleotides) under Elaeis guineensis (African oil palm). RNAcentral describes it as "long non-coding RNA (EGUI_LNC059239)". Lineage: Eukaryota; Viridiplantae; Streptophyta; Magnoliopsida; Arecales; Arecaceae. The record is from RNAcentral.
ACAUAUAAAUAAGACUCCAUCAGAUGUUCUCUCGUAGGUCAAUUCAGUGAACUCAUUCUUUAAUGAGCACCCAUAUUUUUGUAUUAGUGUCAUCACACAAGUGGUUGUGAGAUCAACCACCCUCACCACUAAGCAUACAUAGGAUGUGCCGGUCUUACCGGUAUCAUUGGUCUCCGACUUAAUGAACUAAUGAUUGAGAAUAUUUUAGAUCAGGGC